Molecule: long non-coding RNA, 652 nt
Filed under: Vulpes vulpes (red fox)
Lineage: Eukaryota; Metazoa; Chordata; Mammalia; Carnivora; Canidae
Description: lncRNA (ENSVVUG00000030329.1)
Source: RNAcentral
AUCAGCACUCUAAUGAUAUCUACGAUAUCUAUGAUAUCUGUAUGUUGCUAGGAUUUUUCUGCAUGGUAUUAUAACCAGCAAAAUCUUUUGUUUUGUUUUGUUUUUAAAGAUUUUUAUUUAUUUAUUCAUGAGACACACAGAGAGAGAGGCAGAGACACAGGCAGAGGGAGAAACAGUGUCCCUGCCGGGAGCCCGAUGUGGGACUCGAUCCAGGGCCCUAGGAUCUCGCCCUGGGCCAGAGGCAGAUGCUCAACUGCUGAGCCACCCAGGUGCCCCAGGAUAAUCAUUUUGGAAAGAAUGUCAGUCAAGUCCAUCUCUGUCACUGAGGUCUCGUCAUCCCAGUCGGUCCUGUGACAUAGUGUUCUUGAUCCCUGUGUACUGUCGAAGACACAGAAAGCAGAGGUCCCACAGCUAGAAGGUGGGGAAGGUCACCUCUGGGCAAUGCCAGAUGGUCUCUGCUUUCCUCCAGACCCUACAGUGUACUUCCAGUCCACAACAGUUUACAACUCACAGUCUCAGGAAUUUGUCAUUUUCUUUCGAACAUGGCUGGCCAAAACAAGAUUGGCUUAUGCUCCUAUGCAAUGUACUUCAAGUGUUGCACUUUCCUCCAACAAAGACCUCUAUACCUGCUUUAUUGCUGAAAAUAAAAUCC